GUUCCGUAGGUGAACCUGCGGAAGGAUCAUUCAUAAUAAGUGUUUUAUGGCACUUUUUAAAUCCAUAUCCACCUUGUGUGCAAUGUCAGGGUUGAUUUUUCUCUCGAGAGGAUCAGCCCCAAACAUCAACUAUAUCUCAACUCUUUGUCUGAAAAAUAUUAUGAAUAAAACAAUUCAAAAUACAACUUUCAACAACGGAUCUCUUGGCUCUC
RNAcentral lists this unclassified non-coding RNA (212 nucleotides) under plant metagenome. RNAcentral describes it as "partial contains small subunit ribosomal RNA, internal transcribed spacer 1, and 5.8S ribosomal RNA". The record is from RNAcentral.